This 230-nucleotide ribosomal RNA is filed under the name uncultured fungus. Its description in RNAcentral is "5.8S ribosomal RNA". The stretch from base 2 to 155 matches the Rfam family "5.8S ribosomal RNA". From Rfam's summary of the family: 5.8S ribosomal RNA (5.8S rRNA) is a component of the large subunit of the eukaryotic ribosome. It is transcribed by RNA polymerase I as part of the 45S precursor that also contains 18S and 28S rRNA. Lineage: Eukaryota; Fungi. The record is from RNAcentral.
CAACUUUCAGCAACGGAUCUCUUGGCUCUCGCAUCGAUGAAGAACGCAGCGAAAUGCGAUAAGUAAUGUGAAUUGCAGAAUUCAGUGAAUCAUCGAAUCUUUGAACGCACCUUGCGCUCCUUGGUAUUCCGAGGAGCAUGCCUGUUUGAGUGUCAUUAAUAUAUCAACCUCCUCAGGUUUUUACUUGUCGAGUGUUUGGAUGUGGGGGUUUCUUUUGCUGGUCUCUUUGA